Molecule: non-coding RNA, 2051 nt
Organism: Microcebus murinus (gray mouse lemur)
Lineage: Eukaryota; Metazoa; Chordata; Mammalia; Primates; Cheirogaleidae
Source: RefSeq, a predicted model, not a curated record
AACAAAGACAUUAUCAGUUCUUCCCAGAUCUACACCUGAGGCUCUUCCAGGGCCGGCAAAGACCUGCUGCAAAUGCUGUAGAAUGCAGGUGGGCAGAGUGAAGAUGACAAAACACAUACAAAGAUAGAAACAACGGUUUAAUAGCAAUUCCAACUGGUGGCUGAUGAAAUGCCGCACGACACGAUAUGAGACUUGGCUGAGUUAUUUGCACAGAUGCAUGCUAAAUUUCAAAGGACGCAGAAAAUGCACCGGUGUACCACAGGCUGCCCCGAGAUGUGGAUGCAUUUAUCAGAAGGGACUGUUCAAAGGUUCACAGGGCAGUCAGCACUAAGUGGGGUUUGGAGUCAGACAAACCAGGAUUUGCAACCUGGCAAAGUCAAAUCGUAACCCAGAGAGCUUCCACUUCUGUAAAUUCAAUGAGGUGAGGCCGGGAACACUCAGGCCUACGGCCCUGGGGCAGGGCGGCCACCCACGCUGCGUUCACAGCUUGCUGCUUUCCUCCCCACCCUUGGCUGCCAGGCUGAAUUUGUUUCUCCCUUCAAAACUCAACUCCAAUGUCACCCAUCGCCUCCGCCUCCUCCUUGAAGUCCUGCCCCCUACUCCGGGCUCUGGAGGGCCAGGUCUGCCCUCAGACCACGUGGCUGCAGUUUCAACAAAAGCCCCGGGAGGCAGGGACCCAGCCUCCCCCUCCCCCAGCCACGACCUCCUUUCCUCGGUCCCCACCGUCCGCCUCGGACCUGACAGACACUCAGUGAUGAGUUGAGGAUGAACAGAAAACACUUCGUUAACAGACACUGGGAAGCAACGAGGCCGCACCCUACUCAUGUCUCCAUGCUAUUCGUUUAACGUCGGCACGACUCUAAGAUUUGCCUUUUGCAUUUUCGCUUUUCAAGUCGAAUCUCAUAGUUGCGUAGCAAUAUUAUAUGUAGUAGCGUCCUUCUUAUUGAGGAAACAAAACAAAAAUCAUAGUCCCUACCUCUUAAAGGGUGAGAUAAAUGACGUGACAAAGUUUUGGUAGGACGACAGCCCCACGACAUUGAGGGAGUCAGCAAUUUAUCUACGAAGUGCAAACAACACACCCUUUCAUCCAUUCACUCCCCAAGCAUUUACUGGGCUCGACUGUGUGCCGUGCGAGCUCGGGCUGGGGCCACCAGUGCGCCGCGAGGCCUCGCCCGGCCUCUUGCAGAGACUGCCCAAGAGUGAUGAAGAGAGACACCCACAGCCGCAAAGGAAAGGGCAGACUGGCGCCCUUGCUGCCUGAGAUGACAUUCAAUGGGCGCACACAGAGUGCUCUCAUAGCCGAGUUCUGGCGGCCUGCUGCUGUGUAGUCUGGAGAUGAAGAAAGAGGAAUCUAAAACACUAACAGUCAAAGUGCCGUCUCCAUCUGCCCGGGGCUGAUCUUCAUCUGUUUCCAAAGGGGCCUUAACCUCCCCGCGGCCGCAGCGAAGCAGUGCUCGGGUCUCCGGCCCGGCUCCCUGAGCGCCGCAGCGCCCGCGGGCGUGCGCAGACUGGCUGGCAGCGCCGUGCCGCGCUCCGCCCCGACGGCAGGUGCAAAGCGGAGACCAGGGAGACCACGGACGGGACGCGGCUCCUCCGCGCGGAGCCCCGCAGGCGCCUCCCGGCUGCGCACCUGCCUCCCGGACUCUGGUCCCAGCCGACGAGGAAGACUUCGGCUGAGGCCGACAGCAUCACCGGCGCGGUACGCGCCUCCGCUGGGCGUGACGGGCAGCCAAGCUCUCCUCCGCGUGGAGAGCCGCUCAGCCAGCAGACGCGCGCUCGUCUGCAGGCUCCUGUGGACACGGGCGCCGAGAGGCAAGAGAGGAGCCUGGGAGAGAGCGCCGCUGUGCAGAGCACCCGCCACGGGAGAACGUUCCCACCUCGCCAUGCGUGCACUUUUCCAGAGAGAAGCACAUCAAGCACACUGUUAUGUCCAUGAAAAGUGAAAUGGCUCCCAGGAAACCGGUUCGCCUACCGUCACACCGUGGGAACGGAUGGUUCCAGUUCCUGUUGACCCCAUGCUGACAGAAGGAACAGAGUGCACACGAAAAGCU